This 1470-nucleotide ribosomal RNA is filed under the name uncultured Bordetella sp. RNAcentral's name for it is "partial 16S-23S ribosomal RNA intergenic spacer". It matches the Rfam family "Bacterial small subunit ribosomal RNA". Lineage: Bacteria; Pseudomonadati; Pseudomonadota; Betaproteobacteria; Burkholderiales; Alcaligenaceae. The record is from RNAcentral.
AGUUCGAUUAUGGCUCAGAUUGAACGCUGGCGGGAUGCUACAUGCAGUCGAACAGCAACACGGACUUCGGUCUGGUGGCGAGUGGCGAACGGGUGAGUAAUGUAUCGGAACGUUGCCCUGUAGCGGGGAUAACUACGCGAAAGCGUAGCUAAUACCGCAUACGCCCUUCGGGGGAAAGCGGGGGGACCUUCGGGCCUCGCACUAUUAGAAGCGGCCGAUAUCGGAUUAGCUAGUUGGUGGGGUAACGGCUCACCAAGGCGACGAUCCGUAGCUGGUUUGAAGGACGACCAGCCACACUGGGACUGAGACACGGCCCAGACUCCUACAGGAGGCAGCAGUGGGGGAAUUUUGGACAAUGGAAACCCUGAUCCAGCCAUCCCGCGUGUGCGAUGAAGGCCUUCGGGUUGUAAAAAACGCACGGCGGGAAAAAACGGCACGGGAUAAUACCCCGUGCAACUGACAGUACCUGCAGAAUAAACUUCAGCUAACUACGUGCCAGCAGCCGCGGUAAUACGUAGGGUGCAAGCGUUAAUCGGAAUUACUGGGCGUAAAGCGUGCGCAGGCGGUUCGGAAAGAAGAUGUGAAAUCCCAGAGCUUAACUUUGGAACUGCAUUUUUAACUACCGAGCUAGAGUGUGAAGGGAGGUGGAAUUCCGCGUGUAGCAGUGAAAUGCGUAGAUAUGCGGAGGAACACCGAUGGCGAGGCAGCCUCCUGGGAUAACACUGACGCUCAUGCUGCAGCGAUGGGGAGCAAACAGGAUUAGAUACCCUGGUAGUCCACGCCCUAAACGAUGUCCAACUAGCUGUUGGGGCCUUCGGGCCUUGGUAGCGCAACUAACGCGUGAAGUUGACCGCCUGGGGAGAGCCACGGUCGCAAGAUUAAAACUCAAAGGAAUUGACGGGGACCCGCACAAGCGGUGGAUGAUGUGGGUUAAUUCCACGAUGCAACGCGAAAAACCUUACCUACCCUUGACAUGUCUGGAAUCCCGAAGAGAUUUGGGAGUGCUCGCAAGAGAACCGGAACACAGGUGCUGCAUGGCUGUCGUCAGCUCGUGUCGUGAGAUGUUGGGUUAAGUCCCGCAACGAGCGCAACCCUUGUCAUUAGUUGCUGAAAGGGCACUCUAAUGAGGCUGCCGGUGACAAACCGGAGGAAGGUGGGAUGACGUCAAGUCCUCAUGGCCCUUAUGGGUAGGGCUUCACACGUCAUACAAUGGUCGGGACAGAGGUCGCCAACCAGAGAAGCCAAUCCCAGAAACCCGAUCGUAGUCCGGAUCACGGUCUGCAACUCGACUGCGUGAAGUCGGAAUCGCUAGUAAUCGCGGAUCAGCAUGUCGCGGUGAAUACGUUCCCGGGUCUUGUACACCGCCCGUCACACCAUGGGAGUGGGUUUUACCAGAAGUAGUUAGCCUAACCGUAAGGAGGCGAUUACCACGGUAGGAUUCAUGACUGGGGUGAAGUCGUAAUAAGAUGG